UCUCUUCGCUUCGCCUGUCUGUAUUCUCUCUCCAUGUCUCUUCCAUGGCGAUCGCUGCGGAGACGACACUACAACAGAAGAAGCUAAAGAAGAAGGUUCAGGUUCACAAUUUUGAAAUCCCGAAGUUUCUUGUUUUGGUUCCAUUUUUGUUUCUAUUUAGGGUAUGAUUUUCUUCUUUCUCUGUUGUUUGUUUUUUCCUUGAUCUCUCGGCGUCUCUUCCAUGGCGAUCGCUACGGAGCCGACACGACAGCACGAUAAUCUGAGGUGUUUCGAGAAAUCCAUGCGAAUGUGGGUUUAGGGUCUUUUUCCUAUGAGAGACAAGGAGCGAGUAUCAAUGAAGCUGGUGCUGUAGUCUGACAGGUUGAAGUAUAGAAGGAGUUGGAGCGAAGGAGUGUAGGUAUUUCAGUACUUGAAAUCUGCAAACCCUUGGUUCUCAAGUUCAGAAUGCAAUCUCUCUUCGAGGAGGAUGUGGUCUUUAGUAUAAAUGACUUUCUCCCAGGAAUCCGCCUUCGUCCUGAAAUCAUGGUCGGUGAUUACAGGUUUAGACAACAUGGUUAUUAGAUUAUUGCCGGCUAAUAAAUAACGAUAUGACUCCUGAAGUUUGGAACCGGAGCUGUCUUACGUGGUUCUUUUCAGAAUGCAUCAAGCGGUGCGGUGUAAGUUCAGAAGGUAUACGUGAUCCUAACUUUAUGUUUUCUCAGUUCUUUGGACUGAGCACAUCGAAAUUGAUUUUUCUCUCUUUAUAAAAUGUACACCAACAUUUUACUGUCAACGCAAAGAUUGCCCUGUUGAGGUAAUCCAUCCGCUAGAAGAUUGCAAUGUCAAUUCUUCCCUAUCGUUCACUCUCCAGGUACUUUUUUUAAGUAACUGGUAAUGAAACUGGUGUGAAUUUUUGUCCUGAGCUCUUACUUCUUUCUGUUGCAAAUACGCCGAGUUGAAACAGCCCUUUUUCUUCAUAGAGACGAUGAAAUUAGCCUGUAAAAAAAUGCUCUAUUCUUCAUUCCAACAAAUGGAAAAAGCCCUUUCCCAGUAAUCUGCCUUUCGUCCUGAAAAAUGGUCGCUGAUUACAGGUUUACACAACAUGGUUAUUGGGUUAUUGCUGGCUAAUAAAUAACUUUAUGACUCCUGAAGUUUGGAGCCGGAGCUGUCUUACGUGGUCCUUUGCAGAAUGCAUCAAGCGGUGUGGUGUAAGUUCUGAAGAAUGUACACCAACAUUUUACCAUCAACGCAAAGUCUGUUGAGCUAAUCCAUCCGCAAUUCUUCCCUAUCGUUCACUCUCCAGAUACACCGAGUUGAAACAGCCCUUUUUCUUCAUAGAAACAAUGAAAUUAGCCUGUAAAAAAAUGCUCUAUUCUUCAUUCCAACAAAUGGAAAAAGCCCUUUUUUGAUCGUAUUUUAGUAGCUUUCUUGAGAUUGCUUUAACAUCUUGUGAUACAUAGAACACGAAAACAUCUACGCAUGUACAUAAUGUGUAUCUAGCGAAGACAUCUCCAAUUGAUUAUGGGACUUGUCUUUUCUAUAUAUAGUUCUUGUAGUAAUCUGUGUAGUGAUUGGUUCACUUGAGCACGCAUGACAGGCUUGUCAGUUGGAGUAUCGGUUACAGUGGAUGGUGGAAGUCUGAGCUCAGACUUGUAAACGGUUCAUGUAUAGCACCGGUGGUGGUACAGGUGGAACUGCACUUUAUUCUUGCAUACUCUUGAUAUAGGGAUGUUUGCUCUUUUCUCUAGCAUCGGAGGAAGUGGUAGUCUCAAUGGCAGUGGAGGAGGAAGCGAUGGAAGGAUUCAUUUCCAUUGGUCAGACAUUCCUACUGGAGAUGACUGUCAUCAUAUUGACGAAGUUAAGGGAAUAAUUUAUGUAAGAUACACCGAGUUGAAACAGCCCUUUUUCAUCAAAGAAAUGAUGAAAUUAGCCUGUAAAAAAAUGCUCUAUUCUUCAUUCCAACAAAGGGAAAAAGCCUUUUUCCCAGGAAUCCGCCUACCUCCUGAAAACAUGGUCGGUGAUUACAGGUUUAGACAACAUGGUUAUUAGGUUAUUACUGGCUAAUAAAUAACUUUUUGACUCGUUUGGAGCCGGAGCUGUCUUACAUGGUCCUUUGCAGAGUGCAUCAAGCGGUGCGGUGUAAGUUCUGAAGGUAUAAGUGAUAUAUGCAGAUGAUGUAUACGUAAGUGUAUUGCUAUUUUAUCUGAAUACAAAAAAGUACUAUUAGAACACAGAGCAGAUUGUCUUCUUGCACAUUUUAAGCGGUGUAAAGUCAAAGUGAGUGAAUUUCACGGACAGAAAUUAGAAGAACUAACAGGUAUGGUGUUUCACUUUCUUUUUGCUUUGAAGAAUACAAGAAAAUAGGGGAACGUAACAAUCGAUGAUUUUUGGUUUAAAAUGCAGGUUGCUACUACGCCAGAUUUAAUGUUAGGUUAUCUUUGUUUCUUCCUUGGCAGUGAUGAAAAGAGAACAAAUAUUCCUCCUCGGAUCUAUAAGAGAUUUCCCCUGGCUCUAAUAUUUGGAGGCGAUGGAAGUCACAUGGCCACAUUUCAUUUUGGAUAUGUGAUUCAAGCGGUUACAUUACUUUCAAUUAGAUCAUAUAGAAGGUUGUUUCUGAAAGCUGGUUGCAUUAAAUUUGAUGGACUUCUUUUCCAGUGCAGCUUUAGAGAGGCUUCAGCAGAUGUGCACAAGAGAUGGACUCUUAAGUGAUUUCGAUAUUUGGAAGCUUCUUGAAUCAGGAAAAUUCGGCCAUGUCUAUCUAGCGAGAGAGAAAACGAGUCAGUAUUAUUCGUUUAUAUUUUUCUCUCCCUUUGAAACAGUAUCCAUCACUUUAGUUCUCAUAGUUGAAAUCCUAAAGAUUCAUACCUUCUAAGGUUUGUUAUAUCUUUGAUUUCGUUACCGUGCUGACCUAGAUGUGCUUUAUGAUACGUCGCAAUGACGUUGUGGCUCCAAAAGUUCUGUUCAAGAGUCAACUUCAACAAUCUCAUGUUGAAAAUCAACUUCAGAGGGAAGUGGAAAUACAGUUUCAUCAUCUUUGGCAUCCCAAUAUAUUGCGGUUGUACGGUUAUUUAUACGAUCCGGUUUGCUUAACUCAUUUGGUAUUACUUGGUUGUUAAGAAAAGGUGACCUGACAUCUACGGUAUAUGUUCAAACGGCACUCUUCGGUUCUCAAGGUGUUCUGAUCACUAUCUCUCGUUAUGAUUGUUCUCCACUGUUUUGUUCUACCGUUGAAAUGUAUUUUCCCGUAUCCCUUUCUUUAGUUUAGGAGUCUUCUGUUAUACGUUCUAACGGCAAUCUUCGGGUACAUGGACAUGGUCUAUUGAAUCAGGCAGGUGGUAGAGACAUUGUCGAAGAGCAACAUCUGAUUUUACUUCUCAUUUACAACAUCCACGUAAGAAACUGUUUUAUGUUCUAAUUUCCGCAUGCAAGGCAGAAUUUGAUUGCUUAAGGACUUCAAGGAAAAAAGUUUAAAGAGUCUUGUAUUUUUUUGUGUAAUAGCAUAUAUUGGAUCGUGAUUGUGGCGUAUCCUUGGAAUCCGCCUUGCUGAUAUAUGCAUUGUUGGAAUUUGAUUGCUUAAAAACAUCUAGGAAAAGAUUUUAGAAAAAUCUUGAUUUUUUGUGUAAUAGUAUAAUAGGUUCAGACGACAUGGUUAUUACAGGUUAUUGAUGACUAAAAAAUAACUUAUGGCUCAUGAAGGUUCGAGCCGGAGCUGUCUUACGUGGUUUUACCUUUUUCCUGAAAAUUUACACCAGUAGGCGUUACUGUCAGGCGAAGAUUGCCCUGUUGAGCAAAUCCAUCCAUCGGAAGAUUGGAAUGUCAAUUCUUCUCGAUUGUUCACUCCCCCAAUGCUUUUUUUUCCAAGUAAUAGGUAAUGAAACUGUUGAUAUCUUUUUUUAUUCUAAGCUGCUGCUGCUUCUUUCUGUUGCAGAUAUGCCGAGUUUAAGAUAUCAAUGUCGAAGGUCUCAUCAAUAUCUGUUACUCAUUUUCACCUUGCAAGAACACUAGUUGUCAGCAUACUAGAUGGGUAAACACACACACACACACACACAUAUAUAUAUAUGUGUUGAUACUGUCUCCUUUUAUUUUGUGCGUGGUCAGUUUCCAAAAGUUAUACGUAUAGACAGUGGUUAUUUGUAUGGGAAUGCUGAUCUUCCAUGUGAAGUGGACACAAUGAUUCGAUUGAUUCAGUUGCUGGUGGGGGAAUCAUAGAUUUCCUGUUGUGCCCAUCCAUCCGCUAGAAGAUUGCAAUGUCAUUUCUUCCCUAUAUGGUUCACUCUCCUGGUACUUUUUUUUUCCUCCAAAGUAAUAGGAAAUGAAACUGGUGUGACAUUUUUGUCCUGAGCUCUUACUGAGACGACACGAAAACAUGAUAAGCUGAGGUGCUUCGAGAAAUCCAUGCGAAUAUGGGUUUAGGGUCUUUUUCCUAUGAGGUAUGGAUGAGACCGAGAAUUAGGGUUAUGAAAUUCUGAAAAUUUGUCUUCGUUAUGGAAUCUUGAUUCGCGAAGCCGGAUGAUGGAAUCAGAGACAAGGAGCGAGUAUCAAUGAAGCUGGUGCUGUAGUCUGACAGGUUGAAGUAUAGAAGGAGUUGGAGCGAAGGAGUAUAGGUAUUUCAGUGCUUGAAAUCUGCAAACCCUUGGUUCUCAAGGUAUUCCACUGAUCAGACAUUACUACCAGAGUAAAGAUUCAUUUCCAAUAGGGCAUCAUCCUAUUGCAAAGUAAAGGGAAGAAUUUUUAUAGGUUUUGUUUUACAAUGUUCUUUUUUUCCUGUUGCAUACAUUUACGUUUACAAAGUUUAUGCACAUGGACAUCGUUAAUAGAUUGAAAAAAGCUUUCAUGUUAUGUAUGACUUUAUGGCUUAUGUUGCGAGGUAGAGAUGCUCGUGUCUUUUUGGGUACAAGUUGAACUUGUUUUUUACAUCUGCUUUCUAGUUUUCUGAAUUCAGAUUUUCUUAUCAAAGAUUUGACUACAUUAGAUUUGACUUCAUCAAUAUAGAUUGAUGGAUCUAUAUUGAUGAAGUUCAUUGGAAAUGGAUUUCUUGAUGUUUUUUCUUGCAUUGCUCUCAAUGCAGUUCAGAAUGCAAUCUCUCUUCGAGGAGGAUGUGGUCUUUAGUAUAAAUGACUUUCUCCCAGGAAUCCGCCUUCGUCCUGAAAUCAUGGUCGGUGAUUACAGGUUUAGACAACAUGGUUAUUAGGUUAUUGCCGGCUAAUAAAUAACGAUAUGACUCCUGAAGUUUGGAACCGGAGCUGUCUUACGUGGUUCUUUUCAGAAUGCAUCAAGCGGUGCGGUGUAAGUUCAGAAGGUAUACGUGAUCCUAACUUUAUAUGUUCUCAGUUCUUUGGACUGAGCACGUCGAAAUUGAUUUUUCUCUCUCUUUAUAAAAUGUACACCAACAUUUUACUGUCAACGCAAAGAUUGCCCUGUUGAGGUAAUCCAUCCGCUAGAAGAUUGCAAUGUCAAUUCUUCCCUAUCGUUCACUCUCCAGGUACUUUUUUUAAGUAACUGGUAAUGAAACUGGUGUGAAUUUUUGUCCUGAGCUCUUACUUCUUUCUGUUGCAAAUACGCCGAGUUGAAACAGCCCUUUUUCUUCAUAGAGACGAUGAAAUUAGCCUGUAAAAAAAAUGCUCUAUUCUUCAUUCCAACAAAUGGAAAAAGCCCUUUCCCAGUAAUCCGCCUUUCGUCCUGAAAAAUGGUCGCUGAUUAUAGGUUUACACAACAUGGUUAUUGGGUUAUUUCUGGCUAAUAAAUAACUUUAUGACUCCUGCAGUUUGGAACCGGAGCUGUCUUACGUGGUCCUUUGCAGAAUGCAUCAAGCGGUGUGGUGUAAGUUCUGAAGAAUGUACACCAACAUUUUACCGUCAACGCAAAGUCUCUUGAGCUAAUCCAUCCGCAAUUCUUCCCUAUCGUUCACUCUCCAGGCUUGUCAGUUGGAGUAUCGGUUACAGUGGAUGGUGGAAGUCUGAGCUCAGACUUGUAAACGGUUCAUGUAUAGCACCGGUGGUGGUACAGGUGGAACUGCACUUUAUUCUUGCAUACUCUUGAUAUAGGGAUGUUUGUUUUUUUCUCUAGCAUCGGAGGAAGUGGUAGUCUCAAUGGCAGUGGAGGAGGAAGCGAUGGAAGGAUUCAUUUCCAUUGGUCAGACAUUCCUACUGGAGAUGACUGUCAUCAUAUUGACGAAGUUAAGGGAAUAAUUUAUAUACACCGAGUUGAAACGGCCCUUUUUCAUCAAAGAAAUGAUGAAAUUAGCCUGAAAAAAUGCUCUAUUCUUCAUUCCAACAAAUGGAAAAAGCCUUUUCCCAGGAAUCCGCCUUCCUCCUAAAAACAUGGUCGGUGAUUACAGGUUUAGACAACAUGGUUAUUAAGUUAUUACUGGCUAAUAAAUAACUUUUUUGACUCGUUUUGGAGCCGGAGCUGUCUUACAUGGUCCUUUGCAGAAUGCAUCAAGCGGUGCGGUGUAAGUUCUGAAGGUAUAAGUGAUAAUGCAGAUGAUGUAUACGUAAGUGUAAUUCUAUUUUAUCUGAAUACAAAAAGUACUAUUAGAACACAGAGCAGAUUGUCUUCUUGCACAUUUUAAGCGGUGUAAAGUCAAAGUGAGUGAAUUUCACGGAGAGAUUUUACAAUAACUAACAGGUAUGGAGUUCACUUUCAUUUUGCUUUGAAGAAUACAAGAAAAUAGGGGAACGUGUAACAAUCAUCGAUGAUUUUUGGUUUAAAAUGCAGGUUGCUACUACGCCAGAUUUAAUGUUAGGUUAUCUUUGUUUCUUCCUUGGCAGUGAUGAAAAGAGAACAAAUAUUCCUCCUCCGAUCUAUAAGAGAUUUCCCCUGGCUCUAAUAUUCGGAGGCGAUGGAAGUCACAUGGCCACAUUUUGGAUAUGUGAUUCAAACGCUUUAGAGAGGCUUCAGCAGAUGUGCACAAGAGACGGACUCUGAGUGAUUUCGAUAUUUGGAAGCUUCUUGAAUCAGGAAAAUUUGGCCAUGUCUAUCUAGCGAGAGGAAACGACAAUCACGCUGUGGCUCCAAAAGUUCUGUUCAAGAGCCAACUUCAACAAUCUCAUUUUGAAAAUCAACUUCAGAGGGAAGUGGAAAUAGAGUUUCUUUGGCAUCCCAAUAUAUUGCGGGUUACGGUUAUUUCUACGAUCAGGUUUGCUUAACUCAUUUGGUAUUACUUGGUUGUUAAGAAAAAGUGACCUGACAUGUACGGUAUAUGUUCAAACGGCACUCUUCGGUUCUCAAGGUAUUCUGAUCACUAUCUCUCGUUAUCAUUGUUCUCCACUGUUUUGUUCUACCGUUGAAAUGUAUUUUCCCGUAUCCCUUUCUUUAGUUUAGGAGUCAUCUGUUAUACGUUCCAAUGGUAAUCUUCGGGUACAUGGACAUGGUCUAUUGAAUCAGGCAGGUGGUAGAGACAUUUUCGAAGAGCAACAUCUGAUUUUACUUCUCAUUUACAACAUCCACUAGGCAUUACUGUCAGGCGAAGAUUGCCCUGUUGAGCAAAUCCAUCCACCAGAAGAUUGGAAUGUCAAUUUUUCUCGAUCGUUCACUCCCCUAAAGCUUUUUUUUCCAAGUAAUAGUUUCCAAAAGUUAUACGUAUAGACAGUGGUUAUUUGUAUGGGAAUGCUGAUCUUCCAUGUGAAGUGGACACAAUGAUUCUAUUGAUUCAGUUGCUGGUGGGGGAAUCAUAGAUUUCCUGUUGUGCCCAUCCAUCCGCUAGAAGAUUGCAAUGUCAAUUCUUCCCUAUAUGGUUCACUCUCCUGAUAUGCCGAGUUGAAACAGCCCUUUUUUCUUCAUUUCAACAAAUGGAAAAAGUCUUUUUCUUCGUGUGCUAACGUAGACCACCAGACGGUCCGGUAAAAAAAUUAGAAAGCCGGUUAGAAAAUUAGAGAGUAUAAGAAUGGUAGUGAAGAAAUGAGGAAGGGGUAGGUCUAGACUUACUUGGGAACGAGUUAUUAGAAAUGACUUGGAUAUGUUGCACAUAUCAGAGGAUAUGACGGAAACCCGAAAUGAAUGGAAAAGAAGAAUUCAUGCGGCCGAUCCUAAAUAAACUUAGGAUUAAGGCGAUGUUGUGAUAGAACUCUCCGGUUAGGGUACGCUUUAUUACUCAAACAACUCGGUACGUUUUGAUUAUUGAGAGGCCAUCAAACUCUCCCCAACAAGAAACUAACCAAUUCCCCGAUAUCUAUCCCUGUACCCUCUUAUUCUUAUUUAUAAUAAACGACUAACAAAACCCUAGAAGCAUAAAAUAGAAAAUAUAGAACAGAAAAUAUAGAAUGCAAUAUUAUAAAAUAUAGAAAUACCCUAAUACGCCUAAACUUCUUCGGAAAGGCUUAUCAUGUUGUUGUUAUUGUUGUUUUAGUAGUUUACUUGAGAUUGCUUUUAACAACUUUUGAUGCAUAGAACAGGAAAACGUCUAUAGAUGUUCAUUGUAUUUUAGUAGCUUGCUUGAGAUUGCUUUUAACAGCUUUUGAUACAUAGAAAAGGAAAAGGUCUAUAGUUGUUCAUUGUAUGUCUCUAGCGAAGACAUCUCUGAUUGUUUCUGGGACUUGUCUUCUUCUGUAUAUAUUUGUUAUAGUAAUCUUUGUAAUGAUUGGUUCACUUGAUCACCCAUUGUCAGGCUGGUCUACAAGUCUGAGCAUCUUCCUCGGAUUUCCACCAUCCACAGUUAACGAUACCUCAAGUAUAGCACUGGUGGUGGUACACGUAGAAUUGUACUUUAUUCUUGCAUACUCUCGAUAUAGGGAAGUUUGCUUCUCUCUUUAGCUAUUUUCUUGUUUGCAUGCGCUGGUUAUGUCUGUGUCAUUCUAUGUGAUUUGCUAUAAUUGGUUACAGGGCAUGAGCGAGUAUCGACGAAGUUGGUGCUAUAGAAAUGGAACUGAAAAAGCACUCUCACACAAUAUUGCAAAUCAAGAAUUUUCAAACUGAUUCUAUUAUUUUGAUACGAGUCAAGUACACUUCAAUACUUUCUAAGUAAUACUCAACUCUCACCAGUUUCACUCCACUGAGUGAAACCCCUAGUAUCAUAAGAAAGUCUAUUAGUUCCAGACACACUGUAUGUAGUGCACACCACGUGUCACUCUAGACCACGCCUAGAUCUAGUGAGCGGUUCGCUUGUUAUUGAAAGGCUCCCUCUCGUUCUCUCAGAUAACUCUCACAUGUGUUUCCUUUACAAUUUACCCUCACAAAUCUCACGCUCAAUGCUCUGCAAUAGCAAUCUGCUAGACAACCUCACCUCUUCUGAUGCAUGCUCUUCUGUAUAUAUAUAUAUAUCUAUACAUGAUUCUUCACAAUAUGCUCCGAAUAUGUAUUUUGUCUUUUUCUUUCUUACGCUCAAUAUCCCUUUCCUUAAGCUGGUCCUUUUUUUAUUUUCUCUAUCUGUUUGUUCCAAGCUUCCAUUUGUCGAUUUGAACCUUUUAGAUACCGAAUAUGCUUCAACAGGAACUGUGACUAAUGAAGCUUGUCCAAAGUUCUUUUAUUUUCCUUGAUAUGCAUUUACAUUUAGAAAGUUUAUACACUUGGACAUUGUUGACCGGUUGAAAUGCUUAAAUCGAGUGAUGAGAGAGAGACUAAAAACGAUUACUUACAUUGUUGCAGUUUUCUUGGUUACUUUCUUUGGUUAUGUAUGUCUCUGUAUCAUGGUAUGUGAAUUUUGAUAUUACUGAUUACAGGGGAGGAGCGAGCAUGUGCGAAGAUGGUGCUGGAGAAACGGGAGAGCUGUGACCGGUAAACAUUUGAGAAUAGGUAAGUAGAGCUGCGAUCUACUUACAAUUUACUCCUCACAUUCCAAUUGGUUCUGUUUACAUCUCACAUUCCAAGGAUCGAGGUUUUGUUUCUCAAACAGGGAGAAGAUUACAAUUUUCAAUCCAAGUAGGGUUGGGCAUUUAAACCCGUUACCCGCGGGUUUGCGGGUAUCCGGUGUCACGGGUACUCGAAAAACAGGUACUCGACAUCCAAUGAAAACAAAACCGGUAUUAAAAGCUGGAAAACGGGCGUUAUACGGGUUCGGGUUCUAGAUAUUAAAAGAACGGGCACCCUCAGGAAUCCGUAUAUGUAUUAAAAUUAAAAAAGUAUCCUUACAUUUUUAGCGUAAUUUCCAAAAUAUCUCUUUUCACUUUUCUUUUGCGUUGCCGACAUUGUGUUCUUCUUCCUAAAAUUGUAAAGUUGAAAACCAUCCCCUCUCUCUCAGCCCUUUCCCGCAGGUGUUUCGACUUUACUGAUUUGUUGGAUCUUCUUCAAUUAUGGAGAUAAACAAUACUCAGAGAUGCAAUAAAUGUUGUUGUCCCUAUUCCGGUUCAACCAGAUGCUUCUAAUCAAAAUGAAGAGUCUUCUAAGCAAGUUGAAACUGAGGACAGGACUAAGGGAAGAUGGCUGAGAAGUGUUUACUUCAAUGGGGAAUCAACAAAGUUUUUACUGUGACAGUUGAUAAUACAACUUCAAAUGAUGUGGGGAUCAGAAACUUGUAGAGAAAGUUUAAAACUUGGGGAACGAGCAUUCUUGAUGGAGAGUUCUUGCAUAUCACAUGUGGAGUUCAUAUCUUAGGAUUGGUUGUAAAAGAUGGACUCCUUGAGUUGCAUGAAUCUAUUUCCCGGAUUCGAAUGGUUGUUCGUUAUGUGAGAUCCUCGACAAGUAUGGCGAAGAAGUUCAAAGAAUGUUUAGAAGCUCAAAAAGUAUGUACUAAAGCAUGACUUUGUUUAGGCGUGGAAACUAGAUGGAACUCAACGUAUUUGAUGUUGCAAUUGACUUUAAGACUUAGGCAAGGGUUUGAUAUAUUUGGGUCUGAA
Molecule: long non-coding RNA, 10748 nt
Organism: Tarenaya hassleriana
Lineage: Eukaryota; Viridiplantae; Streptophyta; Magnoliopsida; Brassicales; Cleomaceae
Exons: 22
Source: RefSeq, a predicted model, not a curated record